GAUGAAGAACGUAGCGAAAUGCGAUAAGUAAUGCGAAUUGCAGAUUUCAGUGAAUCAUCGAAUCUUUGAACGCACAUUGCGCCCGCCAGUAUUCUGGCGAGCAUGCCUGUUCGAGCGUCAUUUCAACCAUCAAGCCCCAGGCUUGUGUUGGAGCCCUGCGGCUGCCGCAGCCUCCCAAAACCAGUGGCGGGCUCGCUAUCACACCGAGUGCAGUAGUUUACUCUUCGCUCAGGGCGUGUGGCGGGUGCUAGCCGUGAAACCCCCAACUUCUCAAGGUUGACCUCGGAUCAGGUAGGAAUACCCGCUGAACUUAAGCAUAUCAAUAAGCGGAGGA
This 334-nucleotide unclassified non-coding RNA is filed under the name soil metagenome. RNAcentral describes it as "partial contains 5.8S ribosomal RNA, internal transcribed spacer 2, and large subunit ribosomal RNA". The stretch from base 1 to 120 matches the Rfam family "5.8S ribosomal RNA", at positions 35 to 154 of the family's 154-position model. The record is from RNAcentral.